AGUGAACGCUGGCGGUAUGCCUAAUACAUGCAAGUCGAACGGCCGCACAGUAAGAGUUUGCCCCUACGGUUGGCGAGUGGCGGACGGGUGAGGAAUACAUCGGCAUCUACUUUUUCUUGGGUGAUAACGUAGGACAACUUACGCUACUACCUCAUACGUCCUACGGGUUGAAUUAAUGGAUCUUCGGACCUUUCGCGUCUCAUUUAGCCGAUUCCGGAUUAGCUAGUUGGCGUGGUAAAGGCCCACCAAGGCGACGAUCCGUAGCUGGCCUGAGAGGAUGAUCAGCCACACUGGAACUGAGACACGGCCCAGACUCCUACGGGAGGCAGCAGUGGGGAAUAUUGGGCAAUGGGCGCAAGCCUGACCCAGCCAUACCGCGUGGGUGAAGAAGGUCUUCGGAUUGUAAAGCCCUUUUGUUGGGAAAGAACAACAGCAGGUGAAAACAUGGAUGUCCUGACGGUACCCAAAGAGUAAGCCACGGCUAACUUCGUG
RNAcentral lists this ribosomal RNA (492 nucleotides) under uncultured bacterium. RNAcentral describes it as "partial 16S ribosomal RNA". It matches the Rfam family "Bacterial small subunit ribosomal RNA", at positions 29 to 507 of the family's 1533-position model. The record is from RNAcentral.